This 488-nucleotide ribosomal RNA is filed under the name uncultured bacterium. RNAcentral's name for it is "bacterial SSU rRNA". It matches the Rfam family "Bacterial small subunit ribosomal RNA", at positions 23 to 518 of the family's 1533-position model. The record is from RNAcentral.
CUUAGGAUGAACGCUGGCGGCGUGCCUAACACAUGCAAGUCGAACGGAGUGUUGAGAGCUUGCUUUAACACUUAGUGGCGGACGGGUGAGGUAAUGCGUGAGCAACCUGCCUUUCAGAGGGGGACAACAGUUGGAAACGACUGCUAAUACCGCAUAACGUAUUUUGGGGGCAUCCCCCGGGAUACCAAAGGAGCAAUCCGCUGAAGGAUGGGCUCACGUCUGAUUAGCUGGUUGGUGGGGUAACGGCUCACCCAAGGCUGCGAUCAGUAGCCGGACUGAGAGGUUGAACGGCCACAUUGGGACUGAGAUACGGCCCAGACUCCUACGGGAGGCAGCAGUGGGGAAUAUUGGGCAAUGGGCGAAAGCCCUGACCCAGCAACGCCGCGUGAAGGAAGAAGGUCUUCGGAUUGUAAACUUCUUUUAUGAGGGACGAAGGACGUGACGGUACCUCAUGAAUAAGCCACGGCUAACUACGUGCCAGCAGCCGC